AUUGAACGCUGGCGGCAGGCCUAACACAUGCAAGUCGGACGGUAGCACAGAGGAGCUUGCUCCUCGGGUGACGAGUGGCGGACGGGUGAGUAAUGUCUGGGGAUCUGCCCGAUAGAGGGGGAUAACCACUGGAAACGGUGGCUAAUACCGCAUAACGUCGCAAGACCAAAGAGGGGGACCUUCGGGCCUCUCACUAUCGGAUGAACCCAGAUGGGAUUAGCUAGUCAGCGGGGUAACGGCCCACCUAGGCGACGAUCCCUAGCUGGGCUGAGAGGAUGACCAGCCACACUGGAACUGAGACACGGUCCAGACUCCUACGGGAGGCAGCAGUGGGGAAUAUUGCACAAUGGGCGCAAGCCUGAUGCAGCCAAGCCGCGUGUAUGAAGAAGGCCUUCGGGUUGUAAAGUACUUUCAGCGGGGAGGAAGGCGAUGUGGUUAAUAACCGCGUCGAUUGACGUUACCCGCAGAAGAAGCACCGGCUAACUCCGUGCCAGCCGCCGCGGUAA
This 506-nucleotide ribosomal RNA is filed under the name uncultured bacterium. RNAcentral describes it as "partial 16S ribosomal RNA". It matches the Rfam family "Bacterial small subunit ribosomal RNA", at positions 29 to 523 of the family's 1533-position model. The record is from RNAcentral.